This 336-nucleotide unclassified non-coding RNA is filed under the name soil metagenome. RNAcentral's name for it is "partial contains 5.8S ribosomal RNA, internal transcribed spacer 2, and large subunit ribosomal RNA". The stretch from base 1 to 120 matches the Rfam family "5.8S ribosomal RNA", at positions 35 to 154 of the family's 154-position model. The record is from RNAcentral.
GAUGAAGAACGCAGCGAAAUGCGAUAAGUAAUGUGAAUUGCAGAAUUCAGUGAAUCAUCGAAUCUUUGAACGCACAUUGCUCCCGCCAGUAUUCUGGCGGGCAUGCCUGUUCGAGCGUCAUUUCAACCAUCAAGCCCCCGGCUUGUGUUGGGGACCUGCGGCUGCCGCAGGCCCUGAAAAGCAGUGGCGGGCUCGCUGUCACACCGAGCGUAGUAGCAUACAUCUCGCUCUGGGCGUGCUGCGGGUUCCGGCCGUUAAACCACCUUCAUAACCCAAGGUUGACCUCGGAUCAGGUAGGAAGACCCGCUGAACUUAAGCAUAUCAAUAAGCGGAGGA